This 301-nucleotide ribosomal RNA is filed under the name uncultured bacterium. Its description in RNAcentral is "partial 16S ribosomal RNA". It matches the Rfam family "Bacterial small subunit ribosomal RNA", at positions 509 to 809 of the family's 1533-position model. The record is from RNAcentral.
CAGUCGCCGCGGGAAUACGUAGGUGGCAAGCGUUGUCCGGAAUUAUUGGGCGUAAAGGGCUCGCAGGCGGUUUCUUAAGUCUGAUGUGAAAGCCCCCGGCUCAACCGGGGAGGGCCAUUGGAAACUGGGAAACUUGAGUCCAGAAGAGGAGAGUGGAAUUCCACGUGUAGCGGUGAAAUGCGUAGAGAUGUGGAGGAACACCAGUGGCGAAGGCGACUCUCUGGUCUGUAACUGACGCUGAGGAGCGAAAGCGUGGGGAGCGAACAGGAUUAGAUACCCCAGUAGUCCCUGUCUCUUAUAA